UGAGCCAGGAGAGCUUGGCUGAGCCAGA
Molecule: non-coding RNA, 28 nt
Filed under: Mus musculus (house mouse)
Lineage: Eukaryota; Metazoa; Chordata; Mammalia; Rodentia; Muridae
Source: RNAcentral